RNAcentral lists this ribosomal RNA (779 nucleotides) under uncultured Pelagibacteraceae bacterium. RNAcentral describes it as "bacterial SSU rRNA". It matches the Rfam family "Bacterial small subunit ribosomal RNA", at positions 53 to 880 of the family's 1533-position model. The record is from RNAcentral. Lineage: Bacteria; Pseudomonadati; Pseudomonadota; Alphaproteobacteria; Candidatus Pelagibacterales; Candidatus Pelagibacteraceae.
ACAUGCAAGUCGAACGAAGUAGCAAUACUUAGUGGCAGACGGGUGAGUAACAUGUAGGUAUCUGCCCUUUGGCCUGGAAUAACACGAGGAAACUUGUGCUAAUACCGGAUAAGUCUUUACGGAGAAAGCUUUAUGCACCAUUGGAUGAGCCUGCACUUGAUUAGUUUGUUGGUGGGGUAAUGGCCUACCAAGACUGUGAUCAAUAGCUGAUUUGAGAGGAUGAUCAGCCACAUUGGGACUGAGACACGGCCCAAACUCCUACGGGAGGCAGCAGUGGGGAAUCUUGCACAAUGGAGGAAACUCUGAUGCAGCGAUGCCGCGUGAGUGAAGAAGGCCUUUGGGUUGUAAAGCUCUUUCGUCGGGGAAGAAAAUGACUGUACCCGAAUAAGAAGGUCCGGCUAACUUCGUGCCAGCAGCCGCGGUAAUACGAAGGGACCUAGCGUAGUUCGGAAUUACUGGGCUUAAAGAGUUCGUAGGUGGUUGAAAAAGUUGGUGGUGAAAUCCCAGAGCUUAACUCUGGAACUGCCAUCAAAACUUUUCAGCUAGAGUAUGAUAGAGGAAAGCAGAAUUUCUAGUGUAGAGGUGAAAUUCGUAGAUAUUAGAAAGAAUACCAAUUGCGAAGGCAGCUUUCUGGAUCAUUACUGACACUGAGGAACGAAAGCAUGGGUAGCGAAGAGGAUUAGAUACCCUCGUAGUCCAUGCCGUAAACGAUGUGUGUUAGACGUUGGAAAUUUAUUUUCAGUGUCGCAGCGAAAGCGAUAAACACACCGCCUGGGGAG